AGUAUUUUUAACUUCGAAAUUCGACCCUUAGUGAAUCUGCCCCUAAAUGUGUAUAUUAACUCUCAAGAUUUGUUUGUUUGAGGUUGAACAUAAAAUAACUCCCAAUGCUGAGGGCUCAGGGUGGUGCACUUCCCCCAUGUGGUGAGUAAAUAUUCUACCUUAUGGAGACCCUCCUUCCAAAUCUUAUUACUAUGAUGGUUAUAGUAACUACAGUGAUGGUAACUACAAUGAGGAAGAAAAAGAAGCAGAUUUUGCUGUACAGAGGAAAAACUACAGACAAGUAGAACUCAAACGUGGCUUAACCAGCUUUUAAGAAAAACAAUGUGAAAGGAAUUCAGCAAGGACAUGAACAACAGCAGACUUUUCAUAUGGACAAGAACGUGGCAACCAGAAAAAUGUAAAGGCCGUGGAAGAGGUUUACAUAAAGGGCCAAAUCCUUAUUUUCAAGAUGGCUCUCAAGGGGACUAUGACAGGAUUGGGUCUUCCGGUACAGCACCUGGCACAACAAAAGUGUCUUAUUUUGCGAGGCUUUGUGACUGUGUAUCUCUAUUGGUAACUUAAAAUAUAUAUGUGUAACAAUCUUCAUGUUUUAAGCAAUUUUGUUAAAUGCUGUAAAUAUCAGGGAAAACAUAUCCGUUCCAACCAGUUUUAUUUAAUUUCAUUCCCCAGGGACAAAAUGUUCUUCAUAAAUCUGAGGUUUAGACAGUGAUCUUAUGUAGUGCAUGCCCAUUUUGUAUUUGCAUUUUGUUGUCAUUUUAAUACUUGUUUGCCUACAUAGUUUUAAUUGAAAUAUUUUUUUAAAAAAUUGAGUCCUUUAGUGUUUCCAUUUACUUUUUUCACUAUUUUAUAUAAAUUCUCUGCAAUAAAUAAAAAUUUAUUGUGAUUAAAUAGAUAAAACAAGCCACAUAUGGGCCAAUAUUUCAAGAUAUCUGGCCAAGCAGUACAGGAGUGUGGCCAAAUCGCUGAUUGAACCAUUGGCCAGCUGGUUGGAUAUCUGAAACAAAACGAGUGAGGAAAAGUUUAAAUGCCAUGGGCAUAAAACAUAGACAGGGCUGCUAUUAGGUGGGGGGUACAGAGGGUACUGCAGUUGGGGUCCUGUGGCAGAGGGGGCACCAGAGAUGGAAAGGUGCAAUUUCAGAGUUACAAAAAAUGUUUGCAUUCGGUGGAUCAUGGGUGGUGUUUUAGCAUAACUAGCAGCCCCACAUUAUUGUUGGUUGGCCCACCACCCAGGGACCCAGGAGACUGUCUAAUAUUUAGGGGCCCAUGGGUAAUGGGCCCUGAUAAAUUUGUAAUAUUGGGCCCCAAGUCUACUGAUGGUGGCCCUGCAUACAAUAACUCAAAAAAGGAAGGUAUAAAACAUGAUCAGUAAUGCAACAGGUUAAAUUGCUAUAUGUGUAAGAUAUGUGUAACAAGUAUCAGGCAGCAGUUGAUACCACCAUUAUAGGGACUCUUGCCCUGCUUGAGGGAGAAAAUCAUUCCCUUGCCCUUACCAGAACUUCAUUUGGGACCUCCAUGUUAAACAACAGGACAAUCCCUUAAUACUUCAGUUCUUUGUACCUAUGGAGCUCCAUUUGAGUCUAGAGUCCUGCAACAAUCCCUCCGUUGGGAGGAAUGGAGCUACAAUUCUAUAGCUAAUAGGGUGGUUAUAUAAUUUUGAGUGUCCAUGAAUUGUGUGUGUGGCUAAGCAGAUUCUGGCCCAUGGUCCUUAAACUCACCUAUGGCUGGGUGCUGGGAGUUGUACUGUAAAAAGAACUACAGGGCCACUGGCUGGAUAACACUGAUAUAAAGUCUUACUGUCCCACCUUUCCCUACUGUCACCUUCUUACCUACCUACUAUACCUGCUGUUACUUUGCCUUAAUGUCCCAUUGUGCCCUACUAUACCUGCUGCCCUCCCUGUUCCAACUUGCAACUUCUAUCCUGCCAGGCAUGACUGUGUAUGGCCUUUGGCAAAGUGAACACAGUAUCAAUGAGUCUAUGCCCAGGUGCAGACCAGCCAAUAAGAUGCUUGCUUUUAAACAGGUGACCAGUACAUGAAGCUGGCAAAGCAAAGGUGGGCACAUGCCAUCUAUACUCAAUCUGAUUGGCUCAGGCAGCUGAAGCUUCAUAACAGUCAUAACUGUCUUCAUAACGGUCUUGACUGUUAGAGGAG
This is a long non-coding RNA of Xenopus laevis (African clawed frog), 2150 nucleotides long. RefSeq lists it as uncharacterized. The record is from RefSeq and is a predicted model, not a curated record. The transcript has 3 exons. Lineage: Eukaryota; Metazoa; Chordata; Amphibia; Anura; Pipidae.